GCACUAGUGGUUUAGUGGUAGAAUAGUACCCUGCUAUGGUAUAGACCCAAGUUCGAUUCUCGACUGGUGCA
This is a transfer RNA of Ipomoea nil (Japanese morning glory), 71 nucleotides long. It matches the Rfam family "tRNA". From Rfam's summary of the family: Transfer RNA (tRNA) molecules are approximately 80 nucleotides in length. Their secondary structure includes four short double-helical elements and three loops (D, anti-codon, and T loops). The record is from Rfam. NCBI's taxonomy places the organism in Eukaryota, Viridiplantae, Streptophyta, Magnoliopsida, Solanales, Convolvulaceae.